UUCAGGAUCUUAUAAUGCCAGAUAUUCCUCACUCUCUCAACAUUUCAGAAAUGAUGCAAUUUAUGCAAGUCAACAUAGAGUUUUUAAAUCUGUUUUCAGAUAUGGAUUGCAGAUUAUGUAAAAUUCCAAAUAAUCCAAGUUUUAAAUCAUCCUCUAAAUAUAAUUCAAAUAAAAAAGAAAAUACUUUACUUUCUCAACAAAGAAGUAGUGAUGGAAAAUUGAAAA
Long non-coding RNA from Centruroides sculpturatus (bark scorpion), 225 nucleotides. RefSeq lists it as uncharacterized. The transcript is spliced from 2 exons. NCBI's taxonomy places the organism in Eukaryota, Metazoa, Arthropoda, Arachnida, Scorpiones, Buthidae. The record is from RefSeq and is a predicted model, not a curated record.